Molecule: long non-coding RNA, 1014 nt
Organism: Bubalus bubalis (water buffalo)
Lineage: Eukaryota; Metazoa; Chordata; Mammalia; Artiodactyla; Bovidae
Exons: 3
Source: RefSeq, a predicted model, not a curated record
GUUGGACACGACUGAAGCAACUUAGCAGCAGCAGCAGCAGAUUAAACUUUUGCUGCAUGCUGGGGUUAGAGACAGAAGCUGAGGUAAAAUGAUACCUCGAAAAACAUCCCUGGACUUUGAUACUAACUAUUCUUGGAUGAAGUUGGCUGGUCAAACACCCAAAACUGAUGAGGUAGCUCUACUGGGAUGAUGUUUUUCGGAGGACCUGGGAGCCCUGUGAGAAAGAACUUAUCCUAUGGGAAGAAGAAAUGAAUCUACAAGUCUGGCCAAAUAUAGAAAUCUUUGUUCCCAAAUAAGUAACUUUCAGAGGAAGAACAUGGAGCUUGUUCCUCAGGUAUGAUUGUCAUCUCAGGUCUACCUGUACUCAUGUUUAUAUUUGCAGGAAGGAGGAAGAAGAAUAAAUAAAAGCCAAUAAAUGCUAUUUUGUAUCUAAAAUGUAUAAGAUAUUGGAGCACAAACUAUGAUGCCUUAGAUUACUGAUAAGGGAGUACAAUGAAGAACAAGAGAAGAGAAUUUUACCCACUUUCCCACAUACAUCUGCAAUAAUUCUUAACCUUUGGUAAAAGUAAUAUACUGAUGUUAGAAUAAUAUACAUACAGAUAUAUUUAGAAACACAUUCAGCAUAUGAAUUCUAGCAGUCCAUGUGGUCCCAUGUGAUAUGUCCCUGCUAACAUUCUCAUGGAGCGAGCAGUGACAACACAGGGGCACUGGUGCCUGGUAGAGGUGAUAAUCUUAGUGGAAUUAACUGUAAGCAGGAGAUAAGUAGAACAUGACUGGAGAGUGAUGCACAGGAAGUGAGAGUAUUACCAGUGGAGUGAACCAUUAGCUAGUAGGAAGUAGCACUACCCAAGAUAGAGUGAUACCUUUUUAAAACUGCAGAGUCAGUUGAAGUCUCUACUGUAGGCAUUGCUUUGAGUAGUGAGUUUGUAGAAGAAAUAGAACCUGUAUUGUUGUAGGGCUUCCCAGGUGGUACAGUGGUAAAGAAUCUGCCUGCCACAAAUGGAUAAGGAAGUU